Molecule: long non-coding RNA, 610 nt
Organism: Lycium barbarum (goji berry)
Lineage: Eukaryota; Viridiplantae; Streptophyta; Magnoliopsida; Solanales; Solanaceae
Exons: 3
Source: RefSeq, a predicted model, not a curated record
CACUUAAAUUGAUAUUUUCCAUUCUAAUUAAGCGAAGCUUAGGUGCCCUUUACUUAUGAAGCAACUUGGACAGCAAAUCACUUUGGGGUUGAGCUACUGGAAGUAACAAAAACGUUCUACUACAUUUCUCUUGCAAGACAUAACAUCAAAUCUCCUUCUUCAACAACUUAGUAGCAAAAUUUUCCUCUCAAAAACCAAGAAGAAACAACGUGUAUUUCAGCCCCUAAUAUCAACAUCUUGGGAAGCCCGAGGCAAGGGGCACUGUGUUUAUGCCACACAGCCCUAGAUUACUUUGCAGGAAAUAUUAUACAGGAGACUGACUGUAGGGUAUUCCCAGGUUAUCAACUGGAUUGGAAAACUCCAUUUCAUUCUGAGUAUGGCCGAGUCAGAGUAUUUCUUUAUGAUUUAAGUCAGAUGCAUUAUGGGUAUGUUGGGACCCUGUCCCAACUUAUGUUUUAAUAACAUGUUCUAGGUUAGAGAUUUUUGGAGACAGAGUUAUGUACAUAGUAUGUCAUUCUUGUAAGUGCCUAUGUAAGCCGAUAUAUCAUUUUGCACUUUACGGAUUUAAUAUGAUUACAGAUUUUACUUGAUUUAAGAAAGAUGAAAAGAA